GACGAACGCUGGCGGCGUGCCUAAUACAUGCAAGUCGAACGCACGAAGUUGAAGAGCUUGCUCUUUAACCAAGUGAGUGGCGGACGGGUGAGUAACACGUGGGUAACCUGCCCAUUAGAGGGGGAUAACAUUCGGAAACGGAUGCUAAUACCGCAUAGUUUCAGGAAUCGCAUGAUUCUUGAAGGAAAGGUGGCUUCGGCUACCACUAAUGGAUGGACCCGCGGCGUAUUAGCUAGUUGGUGAGGUAAUGGCUCACCAAGGCAAUGAUACGUAGCCGACCUGAGAGGGUGAUCGGCCACACUGGGACUGAGACACGGCCCAGACUCCUACGGGAGGCAGCAGUAGGGAAUCUUCCGCAAUGGACGAAAGUCUGACGGAGCAACGCCGCGUGAGUGAAGAAGGUUUUCGGAUCGUAAAACUCUGUUGUUAAAGAAGAACAAGGAUGAGAGUAACUGCUCAUCCCCUGACGGUAUUUAACCAGAAAGCCACGGCUAACUACGUGCCAGCAGCCGCGGUAA
This 518-nucleotide ribosomal RNA is filed under the name uncultured bacterium. RNAcentral's name for it is "partial 16S ribosomal RNA". It matches the Rfam family "Bacterial small subunit ribosomal RNA", at positions 28 to 523 of the family's 1533-position model. The record is from RNAcentral.